GACGAACGCUGGCGGCGUGCCUAAUACAUGCAAGUCGAACGCAGUGGGGACGGGUGAGUAACACGUGGGUAACCUCCCAUCAGAGGGGAUAACACUUGGAAACAGGUGCUAAACCGAUACUGAUGGAUGGACCCGCGGUGCAUUGCCUAGUGGGUGAGGUAACGGCUCACCAAGGCCACGAUGCAUAGCCUGCCGGUGAGGGUGAUCGGCCACACGUGGACUGGUACACGGCCCAGAUUCCUACUGGAGGCAGCAGUAGGUAAUCUUCGGCAAUGGACGAAAGUCUGACCGAGCAACGCCGCGUGAGUAAAGAAGGUUUUCGAAUCGUAAAACUCUGUUGUUAGAGAAGCGGUAUCUAACCAGAAAGCCACGGCUAACUACGUGCCAGCCGCCGCGGUAAUAC
RNAcentral lists this ribosomal RNA (403 nucleotides) under uncultured bacterium. RNAcentral's name for it is "partial 16S ribosomal RNA". It matches the Rfam family "Bacterial small subunit ribosomal RNA", at positions 28 to 526 of the family's 1533-position model. The record is from RNAcentral.